RNAcentral lists this transfer RNA (62 nucleotides) under Echinogammarus berilloni. RNAcentral's name for it is "tRNA-His". Lineage: Eukaryota; Metazoa; Arthropoda; Malacostraca; Amphipoda; Gammaridae. The record is from RNAcentral.
GUUAAGGUAGUUUAAGUAAAAUUCUAUGCUGUGGUUAUAGAGAUGUAGUCUACCCUUAGCAU